Molecule: ribosomal RNA, 292 nt
Filed under: uncultured bacterium
Lineage: Bacteria
Description: partial 16S ribosomal RNA
Source: RNAcentral
GGACUACCAGGGUUUCUAAUCCCGUUCGCUCCCCCAGCUUUCGCGCCUCAGCGUCAAGAAUGCCCCAGGAGACCGCCUUCGCCACUGGUGUUCCUACCGAUAUCUACGCAUUUCACCGCUACACCGGUAAUUCCAUCUCCCCCUAGCACCUUCAAGACCGAGAGUAUCCACCGACCCUCCGGGGUUGAGCCCCGGGCUUUCACAGCGGACUGCUCGACCCGCCUACGCGCGCUUUACGCCCAGUAACUUCGGACAACGCUCGCCCCCUCCGUAUUACCGCGGCGGCUGGCAC